GCCGCUGUGGCGGAAUUGGCAGACGCGCGGGACUUAAAAUCCCGUGGUGGCAACACCGUGUCGGUUCGAGCCCGACCAGCGGCAUCA
This 87-nucleotide transfer RNA is filed under the name Shuttleworthella satelles DSM 14600. Its description in RNAcentral is "Shuttleworthia satelles DSM 14600 tRNA-Leu". It matches the Rfam family "tRNA". Rfam says of the family: Transfer RNA (tRNA) molecules are approximately 80 nucleotides in length. Lineage: Bacteria; Bacillati; Bacillota; Clostridia; Lachnospirales; Lachnospiraceae. RNAcentral also lists the same sequence under 1 other name. The record is from RNAcentral.